UGCGGGAUCGUCUAAUGGUAGGACUCGUGCCUCUGGAGCACGGUAUCGGGGUUCGAAUCCCUGUCCCGCAG
Molecule: transfer RNA, 71 nt
Filed under: Candidatus Jorgensenbacteria bacterium
Lineage: Bacteria; Candidatus Joergenseniibacteriota
Description: tRNA-Gln
Rfam family: tRNA
About the family: Transfer RNA (tRNA) molecules are approximately 80 nucleotides in length. Their secondary structure includes four short double-helical elements and three loops (D, anti-codon, and T loops).
Source: RNAcentral